RNAcentral lists this ribosomal RNA (261 nucleotides) under uncultured archaeon. RNAcentral's name for it is "partial 16S ribosomal RNA". It matches the Rfam family "Archaeal small subunit ribosomal RNA", at positions 748 to 1008 of the family's 1478-position model. The record is from RNAcentral.
CAGCCGUAAACGAUGCGCGUUAGGUGUAUCGACGACCACGAGUCGUCGAGGUGCCGAAGGGAAACCGUGAAACGUGCCGCCUGGGAAGUACGGUCGCAAGGCUGAAACUUAAAGGAAUUGGCGGGGGAGCACCACAACAGGUGGAGCCUGCGGUUUAAUUGGACUCAACGCCGGAAAUCUCACCGGAUAAGACAGCUGAAUGAUUGUCAAUCUGAAGGUUUUACAUGACUAGCUGAGAGGAGGUGCAUGGCGUCAGUGACU